This is an RNA transcript of Populus trichocarpa (black cottonwood), 1246 nucleotides long. RefSeq lists it as uncharacterized. Lineage: Eukaryota; Viridiplantae; Streptophyta; Magnoliopsida; Malpighiales; Salicaceae. The transcript is spliced from 11 exons. The record is from RefSeq and is a predicted model, not a curated record.
UGGCAUCAAUCAAAGUCCAUCAUCAGCUUUCAGUUUCGAAAAACAAACACAAGUAUCUAGAGAGCUUAAAAGAUCAGAGAAAAACAAAAAAGAUGCGAGCUUUACUGCAACUUAGCAAGAGACUCUCUCGCACUCUUGUCUUCUCUUCCUCCUACUCCUCUCUUACUUCUUCUAGAACUUUCGCUACACUCACUCUAUUAUCACCUGACUGCCACGGUGCUGCCAUCACCACCAACGGCAAUGUUUACGCCAGGCCUUGGUUCGCAAUCCAACACCGCGGCGUUAAAGUCAAUGCUAUUCAUUUAAGACCUGGAAAUGUAAUUGAAAAAUCAGGAAGAAUUUUCGAGGUGGUGGAUGCGGAGCAUAAACAGCGAGGAAGAGGAGGAGCGAUUUUGACGUUGGAGCUUCGAGAUGUUGACAGUGGAAACAAGCAAACCUUUCGCUUUGGUGCAGAGGAGGCUGUUGAAAGGGUUUUUGUUGAGGAGAGGUCUUUCACAUGUUUGUACACAGAACAUGAAUCAGUAUAUCUAAUGGACCUUGAGAAAUUUGAGCAACUCGAAGUGCCGCUGAUCUUGUUUGGCCAAGCUGCUGCAUAUCUAAAAGAGGAAAUGAAAGUUAAAAUGCAGUUAUUUGAUGGAAGACCUUUGUCUGGAUCAAUUCCAAAACAAGUAACAUGUGUUAUUAAGGAGACACAAGAUCAUGCAGCUACACCUCGGUUUGCUCCACAACUUGCCAGAUACUCAUUUGUACAAAAAGGCUGUGCUGGACAAUGGUCUCAUUAUUCAAGUGCCUACAUACAUUGAGACUGGAGAAGCAGUUGUUGUCAAUACUGAAGAUGGCUCGUUUGUUACCAGGGCCAACAAAUAACCUUAGCCCACGGCUACUUUCCGGAGGAGAAAAUUGAAAAUACAAAAUCUUUUUUUUCGCAUUGGAGCCAGGCACUGCAGCUUACUGCAUACCGUUCUGCUUGGUUCUUUUCUAUCAAUGCAUGCUUUUUUUGGUACUUUUCACUAGAUCUUAAAGUACGAGGGUCUCUUUAGAAAUUAUGAGGCAUAUGGUAUUCUUUUCAACUUCUUUCCUAAACAAGAGGAUAUGUUUUGCAUGCAGAAUUGGAAAAUGUAGGACUAGCUUUUAGAGCCGUCGAAACCUACCAUCAGUCUAGAAAUUUUGUCAACAAGAGGACUUCAACAUUGUAUUGAAGCAUUUUCCUUUUAAUGUCAGACCUAAUCUCCAAAAUUCUUGAACA